This 397-nucleotide unclassified non-coding RNA is filed under the name uncultured fungus. RNAcentral's name for it is "sequence contains ITS1". The stretch from base 1 to 102 matches the Rfam family "5.8S ribosomal RNA", at positions 49 to 154 of the family's 154-position model. The record is from RNAcentral. Lineage: Eukaryota; Fungi.
UGAAAUGCGAAACGUAAUGUGAAAUGCAUAAACCUGUGAAUCAUCGAGUCUUUGAACGCACAUGGCGCCUCGGGAAACUGAGGCAUACCUGCAUGAGGGAUGGAUAAGGAAUUGAUUUUGGAAAGAAUCAGAGAUGGGGGGUGUCAGGUUGGGGAGGGGAGAGGGAGUGAUCCUUUUCUUCCCUUCUUAUCUGUCCUCUUAAAUAGAGAUAGAGGGAUGGAAUGAUGUGAUAUAUUGGGAGAUGAGAUGGAAUUCCAUUCUCUUCAUUUCUUGCAAAUUCAUCAUCGCCAUCUCAAUCAGUAUGUAUUAUACGCGAUGCUUGCGCAUCACGCACAACAUCACGCACAACAUCACGCACAACAUCCUCAUGUCAGGCAAGAUUACCCGCCGAACUUAA